AACCACAGGCACCACAUGUUUGAACUGUUUCAACGGGAGUCAUGGCAAAACGAACGGAGUAGCACUGCGUGGCCUCGCAAUCCCAGCGACCCGACGAGCUCGCAAAGCGUGCUCGGAAGACGACCCUCCCAAAGCCGACGACGCGCACUCACCUCUGUGGACAGCGAAGAAACAUCGUCGCACUGUGACAACGGCGACUAGUGCACGGCAUUUAUUUUUUGUUGGCGUUCGUUUCAUAAAACCCGUCUAUAAGGAGCUUGUGACCACCCUGAAAGGCUUGACGAGCUACGUGCUCGUAUUCAUGUUGGUGCCACGAGGUGGGCCUUUCGGGCAUGCCAGGGAGGAUGAGAGGCUGUCCCUGAACCGCCUACUAGUACAAAAAGGUGUUGCCCUCGGCGUUACCAUCGUGAAUGUCGACUGACCACGUCGCUCCAUCUCCCAACAGAAGCACCAAACAUUGCUUUCGGCCAUCUGCGUCCUGACACAGGUUGCUAAUGCUUUGCAAAAACAAAGCUGCACCUUUCGAUUCUACAAGGUAACACCCAUCACUAAUGUAGUUUGACAGAACCUUCAAGCUUGCCUUGUGCAGGUGCCACUCUUUCCAGAGAAUUCUACAGCUAGCUCUGCUAUUGGUAUCACGUUAUACAUACUUUGAGAUAUUGUAAAUGUCGUCUUCUGUGUUAUUGACAACCAGGUAUUAACGAUAUCAAGAAAGAUCACUCCAGCCAUGUAUAUUACUUUUUACAUAUAGUAUGCAAGCAACACAGACCAAAAGAACAAUUGCUGAACUCACUUGCAUUUGUGG
Ixodes scapularis (black-legged tick) is the source of this 805-nucleotide long non-coding RNA. RefSeq lists it as uncharacterized. The transcript has 3 exons. The record is from RefSeq and is a predicted model, not a curated record. Lineage: Eukaryota; Metazoa; Arthropoda; Arachnida; Ixodida; Ixodidae.